AACUUAUCCUCUGCCCCGUGGCCUCCGACUGCCCAGCACUCCAGCAGCCAUUGCACAUCUUCCUCCUCUUCCUCUCGAAUCCUCUCGGAGCCCGCAAGGUAGGUUUGGGAUUUCGAUUUUCGGUUGCCGACGGGCUUAAAGGAGAUGGCCGUCGGCGGCUACGGGGUCGCCGCCGACCGGGCGGUGGUGGACGGAGCGCGGCUCUCAAGCGCCGAUCUGUUGAAUACAUCGGGUGCACAAGUAAUUUCAUCCCAUUUCCCUCUCUAUUUCGCUUGCAACUCGCUUCGUAGGCUGGUAUCUGUUCUAAUCCCCUUCCAAUUUGUGUGCACGCCGACCACGAGGGCUUGCAGAUGAGAGGUAGCUUCUUUCGCUAACGAGGGGUCCAAUCCCCACCGCGACACGCACUGGUGAAUGGAGGUCAGCUCGUUGGCACGGAUUCUGUCGUCCCUAUCAGUACGCCAUGGGAACUGCAAUGGUUCAUAUAUCGAUGCUCGUACUUAUCAUUUCCGAAGUCAUGAAAGGAGUCGUGAGAUGCACAGCACCAUGAGUCAUGAUGUUCAAUUUUGCAUGUGAAGUAAAUGUAGAUUUUAGCAGAGGAGGGGGAGGGAAAUCUGUUUGUGUAAUUAGACUUUAUAAACCAAAUUGCACGCAGUUCUGAAUUAUACAAACAUUAGGUAUAAAAUUGCAUGUUAGCUUUUGUGGUUUCUGGGAAAA
Setaria italica (foxtail millet) is the source of this 714-nucleotide long non-coding RNA. RefSeq lists it as uncharacterized. The transcript is spliced from 3 exons. The record is from RefSeq and is a predicted model, not a curated record. Lineage: Eukaryota; Viridiplantae; Streptophyta; Magnoliopsida; Poales; Poaceae.